GUUGUAGACUACGACGUUGAUAGGCUGCAGGUAUACGUGUCGAAAUACACUCAGCUGAGCAGUACUAAUUACCCAACAGCUUGCACA
This 87-nucleotide ribosomal RNA is filed under the name Dyadobacter sp. SG02. Its description in RNAcentral is "23S rRNA. Bacterial LSU". Lineage: Bacteria; Pseudomonadati; Bacteroidota; Cytophagia; Cytophagales; Spirosomataceae. The record is from RNAcentral.